UACAGAGGGUGCGAGCGUUAAUCGGAUUUACUGGGCGUAAAGCGUGCGUAGGCGGUUCGUUAAGUCGGUUGUGAAAGCCCUGGGCUUAACCUGGGAAUUGCAGUCGAUACUGAUGGACUCGAGAACGGUAGAGGGAGGCGGAACUCCAGGUGUAGCGGUGAAAUGCGUAGAUAUCUGGAAGAACACCGAUGGCGAAGGCAACCUCCUGGGCCUGUUCUGACGCUGAGGCACGAAAGCGUGGGUAGCAAACAGG
RNAcentral lists this ribosomal RNA (253 nucleotides) under uncultured Nevskia sp. Its description in RNAcentral is "partial 16S ribosomal RNA". It matches the Rfam family "Bacterial small subunit ribosomal RNA", at positions 524 to 776 of the family's 1533-position model. Lineage: Bacteria; Pseudomonadati; Pseudomonadota; Gammaproteobacteria; Nevskiales; Nevskiaceae. The record is from RNAcentral.